CGCUCUUCANUGCCUUGAGGUNGGGGGAAACAGUUGGAAACGACUGCUAAUACCGCAUNAAUGUCUACGGACCAAAGGGGGCUUCGGCUCUCGCCUUUAGAUUGGCCCAAGUGGGAUUAGCUAGUUGGUGAGGUAAUGGCUCACCAAGGCGACGAUCCCUAGCUGGUUUGAGAGGAUGAUCAGCCACACUGGGACUGAGACACGGCCCAGACUCCUACGGGAGGCAGCAGUGGGGAAUAUUGCACAAUGGGCGCAAGCCUGAUGCAGCCAUGCCGCGUGUGUGAAGAAGGCCUUCGGGUUGUAAAGCACUUUCAGUCAGGAGGAAAGGUUAGUAGUUAAUACCUGCUAGCUGUGACGUUACUGACAGAAGAAGCACCGGCUAACUCCGUGCCAGCAGCCGCGGUAAUACGGAGGGUGCGAGCGUUAAUCGGAAUUACUGGGCGUAAAGCGUACGCAGGCGGUUUGUUAAGCGAGAUGUGAAAGCCCCGGGCUCAACCUGGGAACUGCAUUUCGAACUGGCAAACUAGAGUGUGAUAGAGGGUGGUAGNAAUUUCAGGUGUAGCGGUGAAAUGCGUAGAGAUCUGAAGGAAUACCGAUGGCGAAGGCAGCCACCUGGGUNCAACACUGACGCUCAUGUACGNAAAGCGUGGGGNAGCNAAACGGGNAUUAGAUANCCCCGGUAGUCCACGCCGUNAAACGAUGUCUACUAGAAGCNUCGGNANGCCUCGGUUCUGUUUUUCAAAGCUAACGCAUUAAGUAGACCGCCUGGGGAGUACGG
RNAcentral lists this ribosomal RNA (778 nucleotides) under uncultured Pseudoalteromonas sp. Its description in RNAcentral is "bacterial SSU rRNA". It matches the Rfam family "Bacterial small subunit ribosomal RNA", at positions 118 to 885 of the family's 1533-position model. Lineage: Bacteria; Pseudomonadati; Pseudomonadota; Gammaproteobacteria; Alteromonadales; Pseudoalteromonadaceae. The record is from RNAcentral.